Molecule: ribosomal RNA, 362 nt
Filed under: uncultured Mariprofundus sp.
Lineage: Bacteria; Pseudomonadati; Pseudomonadota; Candidatius Mariprofundia; Mariprofundales; Mariprofundaceae
Description: bacterial SSU rRNA
Rfam family: Bacterial small subunit ribosomal RNA
Source: RNAcentral
CGCGUGGAUAUCUGCCUAUUAGUGGGGGACGAACUACGGGAAACCGGUAAGCUAAUACCGCAUAAUACUCUACGGAGGAAAGACAGGGGACCGUUUCGGGGUCCGUUGCGCUGAUAGAUGAGUCCGCGUCUGAUUAGCUAGUUGGUGGGGUAAAGGCCUACCAAGGCGAUGAUCAGUAACUGGUUUGAGAGGAUGAUCAGUCACACUGGAACUGAGACACGGUCCAGACUCCUACGGGAGGCAGCAGUGGGGAAGUAUUGCACAAUGGGCGGAAGCCUGAUGCAGCAACGCCGCGUGCGGGAUGACGGCCUUCGGUUGUAAACCGCUUUCGUCCUGUGACGAAGCGUGGGUGCGGUAAUGGG